GGAUUAGUACGCUGGUCGUGCCUUCGGUACGUACUGGUGUUACUGAUUUCUACCUUCUGACGAACCAUCAUUUCAUUAAUUUGGUGUGGUGGGGAAUCAGGACUGUUACUUUGAAAAAAUUAGAGUGUUUAAAGCAGGCUCGCGCUUGAAUACAUUAGCAUGGAAUAAUGAAAUAGGACGUUGAUCCUAUUUUGUUGGUUUCUAGGAUUGACGUAAUGAUUAAUAGGGAUAGUUGGGGGCAUUAGUAUUCAAUUGUCAGAGGUGAAAUUCUUGGAUUUAUUGAAGACUAACUACUGCGAAAGCAUUUGCCAAGGAUGUUUUCAUUAAUCAAAAACGAAAGUUAGGGGAUCGAAGACGAUCAGAUACCGUCGUAGUCUUAACCAUAAACUAUGCCGACUAGGGAUCGGAUGAUGUUAUUUUUAAUGACUCAUUCGGCGCCUUACGGGAAACCAAAGUGUUUGGGUUCCGGGGGGAGUAUGGUCGCAAGGCUGAAACUUAAAGGAAUUGACGGAAGGGCACCACCAGGGGUGGAGCCUGCGGCUUAAUUUGACUCAACACGGGGAAACUCACCAGGUCCAGACAUAGUUAGGAUUGACAGAUUGAGAGC
Molecule: ribosomal RNA, 607 nt
Filed under: Glomus sp. MS
Lineage: Eukaryota; Fungi; Glomeromycota; Glomeromycetes; Glomerales; Glomeraceae
Description: SSU rRNA
Rfam family: Eukaryotic small subunit ribosomal RNA
Source: RNAcentral